AUAGUUUUAGAUAACAAUGGAGCUCUAUGGCACAGAGGAAGAAGAUAUAUCCGACAUACACAAUACUUGUUAGUAGAUACAUUCAUUGUUGGUUUAGGACUUUUCACAGGAUUUGUUGACAAUAAGAUAUGGAGUAACACCGGUCUUAUCCUUUAAGUUUACUCAGGAACUUCAGAUUCCCCGUCUGUUCAUUGCUGUCUUCCUCUUUCUUUUUGCAAUCUUGUCUGUCAUCAUGUUCUGCCAUCUUCUCUCCAUCUUCUUGUCUUUAUGUGAACUUACCUAUUUCAUUCAUUCCACCCUCCAGGGUGUAGGGGCUUAUGGGAAGAAAGCCCUGGAUAUAACCAGAGAGGAUUACGGGGCCUUGCCUAGCUGGAAGCAGGUGAACUUGAAGAAAGCCAAAGGCCUUUUCUGAAUGUUUGAAACAGAGAGCUGACCUGAAGACAUCAGAAAAAAAGCCCCCAGGAGGUUGUUUUGUCUCGUUUACGUUGGGACCCAGCCGAGGCUCAGGGGUAGCCUCUCCUGAGCUGUGAUGGCGGGUUGAGGAGGGGAGUACUGAAGGUGCGGAAGAGGUGAUUAGUGACUGAGAGGUGUGGCAGCUUCUUGUGCUGCAGUUUUCCUUCCCAUCUGUUUUUUGCAUUGCUUUUAAAGUAGGAGACAAACAUAAGCGGAUGCACCUCUGAGUGGAUGUGUUAAUAGUUCUUUACAGUCUCACUCUGUUAAUGUUUGUACAUAUGUACCAUACGCAGGACAGCCAGUGCCGUUACCUUGUCAGCCAUCUGUUAGAGUGGGAGCAGGCCUGUCAGCCCGCUCAGCACACAUCAGAUCCUCUGCUAUUCUUAUAUGUAUACUUGUGCAUUACAGAUAAUUUAUAUCAAAUCCAUAUAGGAAUUUAAAAAAAGGCUUCAUGAAUAUUCACUGAGCUAAAAAUGAUUGAAUAAACUGUAUAAUGAAUGUUGAGGAUAUGUUAAUGUUAAUAAAUACUGGAUAUUGCAAAAAUUCUCUCGUGCUGUACAGUUCACCAUUUGCCGUUUACAAAUCAAAUGAUGCAGCUUUGUUUGAAUGUGUCUAGUGUCAUUAUUGUUUCAUAUAGGAGAAAGCAUACAGGCUGGAUUAAAGGCACAGAGAGAGAUGAUGAUGAAAUGUAUUUGAUUUUUAAAUCCUACAGUGUAUAGUGCCUUGCUUUGUGUACAGUUUAUAUACAGAUGCUAGUCUGCAUUUUGAAGACUUUUUGUGAUAUAAAAAAAUAUUAGAGAAAUAAACCCUGAAAGUUGGAUAUUAGAACAGUG
This is a long non-coding RNA of Morone saxatilis (striped sea-bass), 1286 nucleotides long. RefSeq lists it as uncharacterized. Lineage: Eukaryota; Metazoa; Chordata; Actinopteri; Moronidae. The record is from RefSeq and is a predicted model, not a curated record. The transcript is spliced from 2 exons.